Non-coding RNA from Pelobates cultripes (western spadefoot toad), 344 nucleotides. The record is from the annotation of a GenBank genome assembly. NCBI's taxonomy places the organism in Eukaryota, Metazoa, Chordata, Amphibia, Anura, Pelobatidae.
GAUCUCUGCAACCUGCAGGGUGAAAGAUCACCUCCAUAAUCUAUUUUCAUUCCCAGACUACCAUCUUCUUGCCACGGUCUUUUUCUAUCAAUCCCGAACGAAUCACCACUGAAUCCCAGAAUUACCAUUGCCCCCAACUGACACCUUUAGGUCCUUUGGUCUGUGUCCCUACUCUUAGCCCUAAUGGAACCCUCAUAACUGCAAUUAACUAUACGGGUUCAACCCUACUACAAUUCAUCUUGCAAGCCCUGGUUCCAUCAUUCAAAGUCACAUCUUUUGCUUUGAUACUAGCUCCCCUGCUUGUCCUACUUUAUUUUAUUGGAAGAGGACAGCAUUUAAGGGGC